CUUAGGGGGGGCGUUGGUUAGAGAGGUGGCAAGUCGAGCGAACUGGAUUAGAAGCUUGCUUCUAUGGACGUUAGCGGCGGACGGGUGAGUAACACGUGGGCAACCUGCCUGUAAGACUGGGAUAACUUCGGGAAACCGAAGCUAAUACCGGAUAGGAUCUUCUCCUUCAUGGGAGAUGAUUGAAAGAUGGUUUCGGCUAUCACUUACAGAUGGGCCCGCGGUGCAUUAGCUAGUUGGUGAGGUAACGGCUCACCAAGGCCACGAUGCAUAGCCGACCUGAGAGGGUGAUCGGCCACACUGGGACUGAGACACGGCCCAGACUCCUACGGGAGGCAGCAGUAGGGAAUCUUCCGCAAUGGACGAAAGUCUGACGGAGCAACGCCGCGUGAGUGAUGAAGGCUUUCGGGUCGUAAAACUCUGUUGUUAGGGAAGAACAAGUACGAGAGUAACUGCUCGUACCUUGACGGUACCUAACCAGAAAGCCACGGCUAACUACGUGGCAGCAGCCGCGGUAAUACGUAGGUGGCAAGCGUUAUCGGAAUUAUUGGGCGUAAAGCGCGCGCA
This 564-nucleotide ribosomal RNA is filed under the name Priestia aryabhattai. Its description in RNAcentral is "bacterial SSU rRNA". It matches the Rfam family "Bacterial small subunit ribosomal RNA", at positions 23 to 573 of the family's 1533-position model. The record is from RNAcentral. Lineage: Bacteria; Bacillati; Bacillota; Bacilli; Caryophanales; Bacillaceae.